AGUGAACGCUGGCGGUAGGCCUAACACAUGCAAGUCGAACGGCAGCACAGUAAGAGCUUGCUCUUACGGGUGGCGAGUGGCGGACGGGUGAGGAAUACAUCGGAAUCUACUUUUUCGUGGGGGAUAACGUAGGGAAACCUACGCUAAUACCGCAUACGACCCACGGGUGAAAGCAGGGGAUCUUCGGACCUUGCGCGAUUGAAUGAGCCGAUGUCGGAUUAGCUAGUUGGCGGGGUAAAGGCCCACCAAGGCGACGAUCCGUAGCUGGUCUGAGAGGAUGAUCAGCCACACUGGAACUGAGACACGGUCCAGACUCCUACGGGAGGCAGCAGUGGGGAAUAUUGGACAAUGGGCGCAAGCCUGAUCCAGCCAUACCGCGUGGGUGAAGAAGGCCUUCGGGUUGUAAAGCCCUUUUGUUGGGAAAGAAAAGCAGCAGGUUAAUACCCCGCUGUUCUGACGGUACCCAAAGAAUAAGCACCGGCUAACUUCGUG
This 492-nucleotide ribosomal RNA is filed under the name uncultured bacterium. RNAcentral describes it as "partial 16S ribosomal RNA". It matches the Rfam family "Bacterial small subunit ribosomal RNA", at positions 29 to 507 of the family's 1533-position model. The record is from RNAcentral.